Molecule: long non-coding RNA, 375 nt
Filed under: Equus asinus (donkey)
Lineage: Eukaryota; Metazoa; Chordata; Mammalia; Perissodactyla; Equidae
Description: lncRNA (ENSEASG00005035803.1)
Source: RNAcentral
GGACUCUAAGAAAUGUCAGGACGAGCUCCUGGCUGCUGCUUGGUGGGCUUAACAGAGGAGCUUUCUGAUGCCCAAGGAUGGAUUUCUAAAACAAACAAACAAAAAAUCCGAUCUGUGAAGAUUUAGGAAAGGAAGCAGUGACUACCAGUAACCUGCAUGGAUUUUUGAUAAAGAAGUCAUUCCACACUAACCUCAUCUCUUUUUUGGCAUUAUUACUAGUCUGAUAAAUAAAGGAGUGCAACAGACAUGGUAUCUUUGGAUUUCGUAAGUCUUUGCGCCCAUUGGAUUCAUGAAGAAUUGCAUAGAGAGAGAGCCGAUUGGAUGUGAAAACAGAAACGGCACUUUUCGUAAAAAUUCUGCCAAAAUAAAUGGAGC